GCCCCCGUGGUGGAAUCGGUAGACACAGCGGCCUUAAAAGCUGAUGCCCUCGGGCGUACGGGUUCGAGUCCCGUCGGGGGCACCC
RNAcentral lists this transfer RNA (85 nucleotides) under Actinomyces radicidentis. RNAcentral's name for it is "tRNA-Leu". It matches the Rfam family "tRNA". Rfam says of the family: Transfer RNA (tRNA) molecules are approximately 80 nucleotides in length. Their secondary structure includes four short double-helical elements and three loops (D, anti-codon, and T loops). Further hydrogen bonds mediate the characteristic L-shaped molecular structure. tRNAs have two regions of fundamental functional importance: the anti-codon, which is responsible for specific mRNA codon recognition, and the 3' end, to which the tRNAs corresponding amino acid is attached (by aminoacyl-tRNA synthetases). tRNAs cope with the degeneracy of the genetic code in two manners: having more than one tRNA (with a specific anti-codon) for a particular amino acid; and 'wobble' base-pairing, i.e. permitting non-standard base-pairing at the 3rd anti-codon position. Lineage: Bacteria; Bacillati; Actinomycetota; Actinomycetes; Actinomycetales; Actinomycetaceae. The record is from RNAcentral.